GGAGAACCGAGCAGAGCUGCCAAUUUGUGCUGGCAUUGAGUUACUUGUGGACAGGAGAAUCACAUCAACGGAUCACGUUCCUGCACAUGCUCACAACAAGGAAGAAGGUACUAUACGUCCUCAACCGCGGCCUCAAAAGCCAGCACAUUCACCAGGGGAGGAAUUCUAUAGCAGAUUUAAAAGGAACGCUGGCCUUGUGGCUUCCGGUGUUGCGAGAAACGUCAACAGAGUGGUGACCUCUGUGAAAGAAAACCUCGAUGACAUGAUGUAUCCUUAUCGCAGGCGCCCAAAAUAGUAGAAAACAUCUUUCUUUGUAUGCGUUAAUCUCCGCUGAGCUUCUGAAAGCUUACUGUUUUGAACAAUCAAGUUAUGAUGUUAAGG
Molecule: unclassified non-coding RNA, 381 nt
Filed under: Hevea brasiliensis (rubber tree)
Lineage: Eukaryota; Viridiplantae; Streptophyta; Magnoliopsida; Malpighiales; Euphorbiaceae
Source: RNAcentral